GAUGAACGCUGGCGGCGUGCCUAAUACAUGCAAGUCGAGCGAACGGACGAGAAGCUUGCUUUUCUGAUGUUAGCGGCGGACGGGUGAGUAACACGUGGAUAACCUACCUAUAAGACUGGGAUAACUUCGGGAAACCGGAGCUAAUACCGGAUAAUAUUUUGAACCGCAUGGUUCAAAAGUGAAAGACGGUCUUGCUGUCACUUAUAGAUGGAUCCGCGCUGCAUUAGCUAGUUGGUAAGGUAACGGCUUACCAAGGCAACGAUGCAUAGCCGACCUGAGAGGGUGAUCGGCCACACUGGAACUGAGACACGGUCCAGACUCCUACGGGAGGCAGCAGUAGGGAAUCUUCCGCAAUGGGCGAAAGCCUGUCGGAGCAACGCCGCGUGAGUGAUGAAGGUCUUCGGAUCGUAAAACUCUGUUAUUAGGGAAGAACAUAUGUGUAAGUAACUGUGCACAUCUUGACGGUACCUAAUCAGAAAGCCACGGCUAACUACGUG
RNAcentral lists this ribosomal RNA (497 nucleotides) under uncultured bacterium. Its description in RNAcentral is "partial 16S ribosomal RNA". It matches the Rfam family "Bacterial small subunit ribosomal RNA", at positions 28 to 507 of the family's 1533-position model. The record is from RNAcentral.